Carcharodon carcharias (great white shark) is the source of this 642-nucleotide long non-coding RNA. RefSeq lists it as uncharacterized. NCBI's taxonomy places the organism in Eukaryota, Metazoa, Chordata, Chondrichthyes, Lamniformes, Lamnidae. The transcript is spliced from 5 exons. The record is from RefSeq and is a predicted model, not a curated record.
AGAACCGGGCCUCGCGUCCGAAUACGGAUGGGUGGAUGGGUGGCCGGCAGGAGCGGGCAACAGCCGUUUACCCUUCUGUGCUCACUCUCGGUUAACACAAGGCGGCGGCGGUAGCAUUAGCUGCCAGGCCCAGCCGCCCUGUGGAAGUCGGUGCUGCGGCGACACCGCGGGGGGGAUCACCAGCCCCUUCAGACUGAACCAAAUGGGAAAGGAUUUCCAGCCGAACUUUUAAUAAAUGGCAGUUUAAUAGGUUGGGGCUGUUUGUAGUGCACUGAAUACUUCAAUAAAUGCAGCUGCUGUUUCCACUUCUCUUCAGCUCUGAAGAAGGAUCAUACGACUGGAAAUAAUGGUGCUGGGCUUCAACCUCCUCUACCAUUGGCCCAACCCUCAUUUCAAGUGAGACUUCCUUUGUGGCUGUUCCUUAUUUCCCAAUGAUGAUUUUAUUUUUGAACUGUAGAGAAGGGUUUCGCUCUGUGCUGCAGACUGAUUGGCGGUCAACUUCCAAGUCCUAUGAAAACAUGAGAUACAUUAUUAAGUUACAACAGACACAUAUGUUGCACAAUGUCGAAUAAGUCGGAUAGCCUCCAUACUGGUGUCAGGAAAUGCAGCAUUACAAGCAAACUCAGCUAAACAUUUCACAGC